CCUACGGGUGGCUGCAGUGGGGAAUAUUGGACAAUGGGGGGAACCCUGAUCCAGCCAUGCCGCGUGUGUGAAGAAGGCCCUCGGGUUGUAAAGCACUUUCAGCGAGGAAGAACGCCUGGUGGUUAAUACCCAUCAGGAAAGACAUCACUCACAGAAGAAGCACCGGCUAACUCCGUGCCAGCAGCCGCGGUAAUACGGAGGGUGCGAGCGUUAAUCGGAAUUACUGGGCGUAAAGCGCGCGUAGGUGGCUUGAUAAGCCGGUUGUGAAAGCCCCGGGCUCAACCUGGGAACGGCAUCCGGAACUGUCAAGCUAGAGUGCAGGAGAGGAAGGUAGAAUUCCCGGUGUAGCGGUGAAAUGCGUAGAGAUCGGGAGGAAUACCAGUGGCGAAGGCGGCCUUCUGGACUGACACUGACACUGAGGUGCGAAAGCGUGGGUAGCAAACAGGAUUAGAUACCCCAGUAGUC
This 465-nucleotide ribosomal RNA is filed under the name Vreelandella stevensii. Its description in RNAcentral is "partial 16S ribosomal RNA". It matches the Rfam family "Bacterial small subunit ribosomal RNA", at positions 338 to 795 of the family's 1533-position model. The record is from RNAcentral. Lineage: Bacteria; Pseudomonadati; Pseudomonadota; Gammaproteobacteria; Oceanospirillales; Halomonadaceae.